UACAGAGGUCCCAAGCGUUGUUCGGAUUCACUGGGCGUAAAGGGUGCGUAGGUGGUGAGGUAAGUCGGAUGUGAAAUCUCCAGGCUCAACCUGGAAAUGGCAUUGGAAACUACCUUGCUAGAGGGUUUGAGGGGGGACUGGAAUACUUGGUGUAGCAGUGAAAUGCGUAGAUAUCGAGUGGAACACCAGUGGCGAAGGCGGGUCUCUGGGCCGAUACUGACGCUGAGGAGCGAAAGCGUGGGGAGCGAACAGG
This 253-nucleotide ribosomal RNA is filed under the name uncultured bacterium. RNAcentral's name for it is "partial 16S ribosomal RNA". It matches the Rfam family "Bacterial small subunit ribosomal RNA", at positions 524 to 776 of the family's 1533-position model. The record is from RNAcentral.